GGGUGAGUAACACGUAGGUAACCUGCCCAGAAGCGGGGGACAACAUUUGGAAACAGAUGCUAAUACCGCAUAACAACGUUGUUCGCAUGAACAACGCUUAAAAGAUGGCUUCUCGCUAUCACUUCUGGAUGGACCUGCGGUGCAUUAGCUUGUUGGUGGGGUAAUGGCCUACCAAGGCGAUGAUGCAUAGCCGAGUUGAGAGACUGAUCGGCCACAAUGGGACUGAGACACGGCCCAUACUCCUACGGGAGGCAGCAGUAGGGAAUCUUCCACAAUGGGCGCAAGCCUGAUGGAGCAACACCGCGUGAGUGAAGAAGGGUUUCGGCUCGUAAAGCUCUGUUGUUAAAGAAGAACACGUAUGAGAGUAACUGUUCAUACGUUGACGGUAUUUAACCAGAAAGUCACGGCUAACUACGUGCCAGCAGCCGCGGUAAUACGUAGGUGGCAAGCGUUAUCCGGAUUUAUUGGGCGUAAAGAGAGUGCAGGCGGUUUUCUAAGUCUGAUGUGAAAGCCUUCGGCUUAACCGGAGAAGUGCAUCGGAAACUGGAUAACUUGAGUGCAGAAGAGGGUAGUGGAACUCCAUGUGUAGCGGUGGAAUGCGUAGAUAUAUGGAAGAACACCAGUGGCGAAGGCGGCUACCUGGUCUGCAACUGACGCUGAGACUC
This 665-nucleotide ribosomal RNA is filed under the name Limosilactobacillus fermentum. RNAcentral describes it as "bacterial SSU rRNA". It matches the Rfam family "Bacterial small subunit ribosomal RNA", at positions 104 to 754 of the family's 1533-position model. Lineage: Bacteria; Bacillati; Bacillota; Bacilli; Lactobacillales; Lactobacillaceae. The record is from RNAcentral.